Molecule: ribosomal RNA, 466 nt
Filed under: uncultured bacterium
Lineage: Bacteria
Description: partial 16S ribosomal RNA
Rfam family: Bacterial small subunit ribosomal RNA
Source: RNAcentral
GACGAACGCUGGCGGCGUGCUUAACACAUGCAAGUCGAACGGAAAGGCCCUGCUUUUGUGGGGUGCUCGAGUGGCGAACGGGUGAGUAACACGUGAGUAACCUGCCCUUGACUUUGGGAUAACUUCAGGAAACUGGGGCUAAUACCGGAUAGGAGCUCCUGCUGCAUGGUGGGGGUUGGAAAGUUUCGGCGGUUGGAUGGACUCGCGGCUUAUCAGCUUGUUGGUGGGGUAGUGGCUUACCAAGGCUUUGACGGGUAGCCGGCCUGAGAGGGUGACCGGCCACAUUGGGACUGAGAUACGGCCCAGACUCCUACGGGAGGCAGCAGUGGGGAAUAUUGCACAAUGGGCGGAAGCCUGAUGCAGCAACGCCGCGUGCGGGAUGACGGCCUUCGGGUUGUAAACCGCUUUCGCCUGUGACGAAGCGUGAUUGACGGUAAUGGGUAAAGAAGCACCGGCUAACUACGUG